GAUGAAGAACGUAGCGAAAUGCGAUACUUGGUGUGAAUUGCAGAAUCCCGUGAACCAUCGAGUCUUUGAACGCAAGUUGCGCCCGAAGCCAUUAGGCCGAGGGCACGCCUGCCUGGGCGUCACACGUCGUUGCCCCCCCAUCUACUCCUUCGGGAUUGCGGGGGGCGGAUGAUGGCCUCUCGUGCGCCUCGUCGCGCGGUUGGCCUAAAUGCCAAGUCCUCGGCGACGCACGCCACGACAAUCGGUGGUUGCGAAACCUCGGUUGCCUGUCGUGUGCGGUCGUCGCGCAUCGAGGGCUCGAAAAAAUUGCCGGGCUUCGGCUCGACUUUCAACGCGACCCCAGGUCAGGCGGGGUUACCCGCUGAAUUUAAGCAUAUCAAUAAGCGGGA
RNAcentral lists this unclassified non-coding RNA (389 nucleotides) under soil metagenome. Its description in RNAcentral is "partial contains 5.8S ribosomal RNA, internal transcribed spacer 2, and large subunit ribosomal RNA". The stretch from base 1 to 122 matches the Rfam family "5.8S ribosomal RNA", at positions 35 to 154 of the family's 154-position model. The record is from RNAcentral.